This 398-nucleotide ribosomal RNA is filed under the name Sula leucogaster. RNAcentral's name for it is "partial 12S small subunit ribosomal RNA". It matches the Rfam family "Bacterial small subunit ribosomal RNA", at positions 794 to 1384 of the family's 1533-position model. The record is from RNAcentral. Lineage: Eukaryota; Metazoa; Chordata; Aves; Suliformes; Sulidae.
GCCUAGCCCUAAAUCUCGACACUUACACUACUAAAGUGUCCGCCCGAGAACUACGAGCACAAACGCUUAAAACUCUAAGGACUUGGCGGUGUCCCAAACCCACCUAGAGGAGCCUGUUCUAUAAUCGAUAACCCACGAUACACCCAACCGCCCCUCGCCUAAAGCAGCCUACAUACCGCCGUCGUCAGCUCACCUCCCUUGAAAGAGUAACAGUGAGCACAAUAGUCCCUUCCCACUAACAAGACAGGUCAAGGUAUAGCUUAUGGAGCGGAAGAAAUGGGCUACAUUUUCUAAGCUAGAAAACCCCCACGGAAAGGGGCGUGCAAACCCCCCUAGAAGGCGGAUUUAGCAGUAAAGUGGGACCAUAAAGCCCCCUUUAAACCGGCCCUGGGAUACGU